UUGACUUAGCUAAUUUAUUGUGUUUGGCACCAGAAUCUCUGACUUCCCCUGAACGCCUCACUGAAAUCUAACUGCGCAGCUCCCCAGCACAACGUCCCCAUUCUGUUCUAGAAGCUUCUGAGAACAUCGAUACUGCUGUGCGCUUUUGAUUGUGUUGGUUACCACGUGGCAAGUCGACGGUCCGCUGGCCUCCAGCUCCUCUCCCUCUCCAUCUAUCCAUUUGAGAUCAUUCACCUCUCUCCUAUCACUCUACCCACUCAUCCCUUAAUAUAAGACGUUCUAUCUCUCCUGUCAAUCUAAUACAUCUAUCUAAUUUUGAGGUUUUCUAUCUCUCCUGUCAUAUCUACUAUAUCUAUCUAAAUUUUGGAAAUUCUAUCAUUCUAUCCCUCUAAUUCUAUCCCGCUCUAUCUAAAUUUGCUAUUGGUGCAAAUUACCCUAUGGUCUUGGUUCAAAUAUUUUUCAUGUAAAUGUGAUAUGGUUCAUGGUUACAAGUGAAGUUACAAGUUACAAGUACUUGUUUGUGGAUCUACAGGAAAUUGGUACCUGAUCAUUCUGUUUUAUGGUUCUGUGAGUUUCUCUGCUCACACUUUUUCUACCUCUCUUGUCUUUCUCUCACACACAUUUGAUUUGGCCUUUUCAAUUGGCAAAAACCUUAUUUUUGAAUUGUCCAUAUUGUAUCAAUAUUCUAUUUAGUAAUAGUCAUAAUUAAAUAAAUUAUUUUUUAGUUUGUUCAUUAAAUUUAAAUUAAUUGAAAAGACUGGAAACACAUAAAUAACACAUUUUGUUUAGCUUUUUAUCACAAACAUUUGACUGUAAAAACUAAUUCAAAAUUAAAUCUGGUACAUUUCCAAAUAUAUACGUUGCUGUUAUAAAGUGUACCAUUGAAGUCUCUUGUUAAUGUACAUAACAAUAAAUUGAAGUCCAAAUCUAUAUUUAUACAAGAAAAGAGCUGUAGUUGUUCCUGGACCGUGUUGCUGUGGAGCUCUGUACCAAAAGGUUUGUUUUGACUGCAAAUAUAUUCACACCAGAGUACACAUAAUCAGUUUUUGUUUGUACAAGUGUAAAAGUAAUUACACUACAUAUAUUGUGUUAUUUGUCUCUAUUUCACAUAUUUGUACCUUGUCUAUACAGUUACCCACGUUGGUGGCAUCAACACCUUUUGUACAUGCUUUAUUGUUGGUUAAACCUUUAUAAAGUGAAAUAAAUAAACCAACUGUAAGGAGAAA
Long non-coding RNA from Perca fluviatilis (European perch), 1226 nucleotides. RefSeq lists it as uncharacterized. The transcript has 4 exons. The record is from RefSeq and is a predicted model, not a curated record. Lineage: Eukaryota; Metazoa; Chordata; Actinopteri; Perciformes; Percidae.